CUGCAGCCCGAGUGGUGACCGAUAUUAUUGAGCCUAAAGCGUCCGUAGCCGGUCUGGUAAAUUCUUGGGUAAAUCGGGCAGCUUAACUGUCCGACUUCCGAGGAGACUGCCAGACUUGGGACCGGGAGAGGUCAGAGGUACUCCAGGGGUAGGGGCUAAAUCCUGUAAUCCUUUGGGGACCACCAGUGGCGAAGGCGUCUGACUAGAACGGAUCCGACGGUAAGGGACGAAACCCUGGGGCGCGAACCGGAUUAGAUACCCGAGUAGUC
RNAcentral lists this ribosomal RNA (269 nucleotides) under uncultured archaeon. RNAcentral's name for it is "partial 16S ribosomal RNA". It matches the Rfam family "Archaeal small subunit ribosomal RNA", at positions 477 to 746 of the family's 1478-position model. The record is from RNAcentral.